UUCAUCCUUGUCUUUGGGGAGCAAAGUAUUCAAUGAUCGUUUAGUGAGAGUACUGUUGCUGAAGCCCAUUAAUAUUAUUAUGUCUGCAUCCAUGCAUUUUUGUGUGUGAUGCAAUUUUUGGGGGC
Molecule: non-coding RNA, 125 nt
Filed under: Habropoda laboriosa
Lineage: Eukaryota; Metazoa; Arthropoda; Insecta; Hymenoptera; Apidae
Description: U4atac minor spliceosomal RNA
Rfam family: U4atac minor spliceosomal RNA
About the family: U4atac is an essential component of the minor U12-type spliceosome complex which is required for removal of the rarer class of eukaryotic introns (AT-AC, U12-type). These interacting stem loops have been shown to be required for in vivo splicing.
Source: Rfam by way of RNAcentral